RNAcentral lists this ribosomal RNA (448 nucleotides) under uncultured bacterium. RNAcentral describes it as "bacterial SSU rRNA". It matches the Rfam family "Bacterial small subunit ribosomal RNA", at positions 29 to 521 of the family's 1533-position model. The record is from RNAcentral.
AACGAACGCUGGCGGCAUGCCUAACACAUGCAAGUCGAACGAGACCUUCGGGUCUAGUGGCGCACGGGUGCGUAACGCGUGGGAAUCUGCCCUUGGGUUCGGAAUAACAGUUAGAAAUGACUGCUAAUACCGGAUAAUGUCUUCGGACCAAAGAUUUAUCGCCCAGGGAUGAGCCCGCGUAGGAUUAGCUAGUUGGUGAGGUAAAGGCUCACCAAGGCGACGAUCCUUAGCUGGUCUGAGAGGAUGAUCAGCCACACUGGGACUGAGACACGGCCCAGACUCCUACGGGAGGCAGCAGUGGGGAAUAUUGGACAAUGGGCGAAAGCCUGAUCCAGCAAUGCCGCGUGAGUGAUGAAGGCCUUAGGGUUGUAAAGCUCUUUUACCCGGGAUGAUAAUGACAGUACCGGGAGAAUAAGCCCCCGGCUAACUCCGUGCCAGCAGCCGCGGU